Molecule: unclassified non-coding RNA, 221 nt
Filed under: Hevea brasiliensis (rubber tree)
Lineage: Eukaryota; Viridiplantae; Streptophyta; Magnoliopsida; Malpighiales; Euphorbiaceae
Source: RNAcentral
GAUUUUCAGUUUUUCAACACACAAAGAUUGAGUGAAUUGUAUGAAAAAGAAGUACGCUACCUCAUGCAAACGCAUCAAAAGAAUCAGUUGAAAGACACAAUUGAUGUUGAUGAACCUGAAGAGGGUGGAGAACCUUUGACUGCUGAAGAAUUGGAAGAAAAGGAACGACUAUUGGAAGAGGGUUUUUCUUCAUGGAGUAGAAGAGACUUCAAUACCUUUAU